UACGGGGGGGGCAAGCGUUGUUCGGAAUUACUGGGCGUAAAGGGCUCGCAGGCGGCCAACUAAGUCAGAUGUGAAAUCCCUCGGCUUAACCGGGGAACUGCGUCUGAUACUGGAUGGCUUGAGUUCGGGAGAGGGAUGCGGAAUUCCAGGUGUAGCGGUGAAAUGCGUAGAUAUCUGGAGGAACACCGGUGGCGAAGGCGGCAUCCUGGACCGACACUGACGCUGAUGAGCGAAAGCCAGGGGAGCAAACGGG
This 253-nucleotide ribosomal RNA is filed under the name uncultured bacterium. RNAcentral describes it as "partial 16S ribosomal RNA". It matches the Rfam family "Bacterial small subunit ribosomal RNA", at positions 524 to 776 of the family's 1533-position model. The record is from RNAcentral.